This 58-nucleotide transfer RNA is filed under the name Megaselia scalaris. It matches the Rfam family "tRNA", at positions 8 to 63 of the family's 71-position model. Rfam says of the family: Transfer RNA (tRNA) molecules are approximately 80 nucleotides in length. The record is from Rfam by way of RNAcentral. Lineage: Eukaryota; Metazoa; Arthropoda; Insecta; Diptera; Phoridae.
UAGCUUAGUCGGUAGAGUAUGAGACUCUUAAUCUCAGGGUCGUGGAUUCGAACCCCAC